This 409-nucleotide ribosomal RNA is filed under the name Verrucomicrobiota bacterium. RNAcentral describes it as "Verrucomicrobia bacterium partial 16S ribosomal RNA". It matches the Rfam family "Bacterial small subunit ribosomal RNA", at positions 355 to 776 of the family's 1533-position model. The record is from RNAcentral. Lineage: Bacteria; Pseudomonadati; Verrucomicrobiota.
UGGGGAAUAUUGCACAAUGGGCGGAAGCCUGAUGCAGCGACGCCGCGUGAGGGAUGACGGCCUUCGGGUUGUAAACCUCUUUCAGUAGGGACGAAGCGUAAGUGACGGUACCUGCAGAAGAAGCACCGGCUAACUACGUGCCAGCAGCCGCGGUAAUACGUAGGGUGCGAGCGUUGUCCGGAAUUAUUGGGCGUAAAGCGCGCGCAGGUGGUUUAGAAAGUCUGAUGUGAAAGCCCACGGCUCAACCGUGGAGGGUCAUUGGAAACUAAUAAACUUGAGUGCAGGAGAGAAAAGUGGAAUUCCUAGUGUAGCGGUGAAAUGCGUAGAGAUUAGGAGGAACACCGGUGGCGAAAGCGGCUUUUUGGCCUGCAACUGACACUGAGGCGCGAAAGCGUGGGGAGCAAACAGG